GACGAACGCUGGCGGCGUGCCUAAUACAUGCAAGUUGAGCGCUGAAGGUUGGUACUUGUACCAACUGGAUGAGCAGCGAACGGGUGAGUAACGCGUGGGGAAUCCGCCUUUGAGCGGGGGACAACAUUUGGAAACGAAUGCUAAUACCGUAUAAAAACUUUAAACACAAGUUUUAAGUUUGAAAGAUGCAAUUGCAUCACUCAAAGAUGAUCCCGCGUUGUAUUAGCUAGUUGGUGAGGUAAAGGCUCACCAAGGCGAUGAUACAUAGCCGACCUGAGAGGGUGAUCGGCCACAUUGGGACUGAGACACGGCCCAAACUCCUACGGGAGGCAGCAGUAGGGAAUCUUCGGCAAUGGACGAAAGUCUGACCGAGCAACGCCGCGUGAGUGAAGAAGGUUUUCGGAUCGUAAAACUCUGUUGGUAGAGAAGAACGUUGGUGAGAGUGGAAAGCUCAUCAAGUGACGGUAACUACCCAGAAAGGGACGGCUAACUACGUG
Molecule: ribosomal RNA, 497 nt
Filed under: uncultured bacterium
Lineage: Bacteria
Description: partial 16S ribosomal RNA
Rfam family: Bacterial small subunit ribosomal RNA
Source: RNAcentral